GGGGGUGAACUGGCUUCGACCUGGGUGAAGAACCUUCUGGGAGAAGCGGGCCGAGGUUCCGGAUGCCUCGUUAAAAGCCGGAAACCAACAAACGCCAACAAGUCAGAACUGGCGUUCGCUGCCUAAGAACUAGGUAGCCGUCCUCCGCGGGACGCCUGCGCCCGCGGGUCGGGCGUCGUGAGCAGGCUCACGGCGAUGGUUUGGCCUGGUGGCCGUCGUCGGACACCGAAGCCGGGCUGGCCGCGAGGUCCUCCGCCGGUCGGAGCCUCGCGGUAAGACGAAUCGGCCGGCUACGCCCGUAGAAGACCCAGGUGGUCGCUCAGGGACGCGGGUUCGAAUCCCGCCACCUCCAA
This 353-nucleotide transfer-messenger RNA is filed under the name Actinomycetota bacterium. It matches the Rfam family "transfer-messenger RNA". From Rfam's summary of the family: Bacterial tmRNA, also known as 10Sa RNA or SsrA, is named for its dual tRNA and mRNA-like properties. Its role is to liberate the mRNA from a stalled ribosome. The record is from RNAcentral. Lineage: Bacteria; Bacillati; Actinomycetota.